Molecule: long non-coding RNA, 1431 nt
Filed under: Triticum aestivum (bread wheat)
Lineage: Eukaryota; Viridiplantae; Streptophyta; Magnoliopsida; Poales; Poaceae
Description: long non-coding RNA (TAES_LNC027695)
Source: RNAcentral
CCUCCCUGGUUGCCACCACCGCUGCUGCUGUCAUCGCCCUCCCCACUGCCCCACUACACACUGCCAGAUAGGUCUGUAUGCUUCACCCUCGCUCCCUGCUUAUUGCACUCAGGAUGUGUUGGUGCCAUGCUUUGCCUAUUUGUAAUCUCCUUCUAUUCUGUUGUACAAUUCUUUUUGCUUAUGAUUUCUUACUGUAGUGUGAAAUUUAAUUGCUUGGGUCGUCACUGCUACGAAAGUAUAGUUCUAUAUUUUAGGUUCUGUUACUUUAGUCUCUCUUUCUCUCUGUUUAUAAUGAUAUGAACUUCUAUGUUGCUGCAAGAUUGAAAAGAUUCUUUUCGAAAACAGCCUAUGUCAUGAGGGCUGAGUUACGUGUGGCUAUGAUAUCUUUUAAUUUUGGUGAUCUGUGUUUUACAAAAGUUCCAAUAUAAAUUUAUUUUUCAUCCUUAUCAGAAUAAGGAUGCACCUUAAAUUUUAUGCAAUUUUCAAGACGAUCAUUUGGAAUUUUAUGCAGUUUCUUUUGAUGAAAAUAUUUAGUUUGUUGUAUAAUAAGGAUGCUUUUAGUUAAUAACCCUUCAAUACAUUGGAGUUUAUAAAAGGUUUCCUCAUAAGAACUUGACAGCUCCAUGGCAGUGCCUCAACUGCGUGUGAUAACUGGUAAAUAAGCUAUUCUCCAAAAUAAGAUUGUUGCUUAAUCCGCUUACCACCUUAUUUCAGAUCAUCUUGCUGUGGUCGCGUGAACGGAUGGUGUUCGUGAUCUAUAUCAUGGAAAAUAUUUCCUGGAAUGCCUCUAGGUACAUCCAUCUCUGCUCCCUCCCUACCCUCUCCAUUCUAUCCCCAUAUAUAUACAAAGGUUCCAAGUGUAGUAAUCUGGCGUGACACGUACAUAAUCAAAUGAUGGGUUUAGGUUUAAUGCUCUAUUUUCUACUCACAACCAGUAGAUGAGAAACCAUGUAGAAGAUGUGGCAUUGAUGAAGUAGAUUUAAAGAUCAAGUUCUUUCUGGAAUUUUAAUUUGAGGAUUAACGCAGUUGAGUUGGUUAAUUAUCGUACUUGCAUCUUGCCUCCAUGCACGUAAUUUUAAUGGGGUUAGUAUGCUUUGUACAGACCCAAGAACAAUUCCUUAUAACGCUCACCAUUUGUGCACUUCUUUUGGUCUUGGACAAAGGGUAUGUGGAAGACUGGAUUUUGAUAUUAUCCUGGAAUGGCAACUAUUGGUGUGCAACCGAAGAAUAUAUUUCAUGACCGAGAGAUGGUAUUUGGAGAAUCUUAGUUUUGAUAUGUACAUGAAUCUUCUUUUAUUUUGUCGUGCAACUGAAGAUAUGGGACUAUUUGCUCUGUGUAUCUCUUAUAAAUAAGGAAAUGGACUAUAGGUAAAAAAAUUCUAUUUUAAUUAUAUUAUGUUGUAGAUGAUGCAUGGUUCCUGAAUCUUUUUG